RNAcentral lists this long non-coding RNA (755 nucleotides) under Monodelphis domestica (gray short-tailed opossum). Its description in RNAcentral is "lncRNA (ENSMODG00000035282.2)". Lineage: Eukaryota; Metazoa; Chordata; Mammalia; Didelphimorphia; Didelphidae. The record is from RNAcentral.
AGUCACAGCUAUUAUGUGUGUGUGGUGGUGGGGUUGGGAGAGGAUGACCUCUGGAGCAGCCUCUGCUCUCUAGGUCAUAAUACCUUCCCUCUCCCCUAGCAAUGUGUGCCCCCAGAAUGGCAGGCCCGAUAGGGAGGAGUGCUCUAGUGUUAUCGGAGCAGUGUAAGAAGAAUGCAUGGAAAGACAAGAUGGUGGAGUAUCAAGAAGCCAUGCAGUUGAUCCCUUGUCCACAAAUCCUCCAUACAGAUCUAGAAAAUGCACGACUCAAUCCUGAUGGGGAAAUCCAGAAAAAGUCACAAUCCACAGCAGAUCGAAUGGGCCCUGUAGGGGGCCGAAGCCUAGAAGCUGGUGAGGGCCCUGAGGUCUUGGAGGGCCAUGGGGCACCUCCAAGGAAUUCACUCACAUUCUUGGAUGGGGCCUUAGGCCUGGGCAUACUAGGAGUCAGUGCUCGCCUGGUCCUGGCCCUGGCUGGUCCAGCUAUUAUGCUCCUGCUGCUGUUUCUAAUGUUGAGUUUCCUGACUUUUGACCUUAUCCAUGGGCCCCAGGAGUUGCCUCUGCCUCGAAGGCCAAUGUUUAGACCCCUUGGCCUGGGAGCAGGGGGUGAAGGCCCCCGCUUGCGAGAACCACUGCUCCCACCUACCCUGAGUCAUGUCCUGGAUGGAUUCCUUCUCCUUACAGGUCUAGGGCUGAUCCUGGGGGCUGUGAUGCCCUUCAGCAUCUUCAGCCUUAUAGUUAGCCUCUGGCCUCUGGCCUGA